RNAcentral lists this ribosomal RNA (253 nucleotides) under uncultured bacterium. Its description in RNAcentral is "partial 16S ribosomal RNA". It matches the Rfam family "Bacterial small subunit ribosomal RNA", at positions 524 to 776 of the family's 1533-position model. The record is from RNAcentral.
UACGGGGGGGGCAAGCGUUGUUCGGAAUUACUGGGCGUAAAGAGCGCGCAGGCGGUCGCUCAAGUCGCGUGUGAAAGCCCCCGGCUCAACUGGGGAGGGUCACGCGAUACUGAUCGACUGGAAGGCAGGAGAGGGUAGUGGAAUUCCCGGUGUAGUGGUGAAAUGCGUAGAUAUCGGGAGGAACACCAGUGGCGAAGGCGACUACCUGGCCUGUUCUUGACGCUGAGGCGCGAAAGCUAGGGGAGCAAACGGG